RNAcentral lists this long non-coding RNA (582 nucleotides) under Monodelphis domestica (gray short-tailed opossum). RNAcentral describes it as "lncRNA (ENSMODG00000044102.1)". Lineage: Eukaryota; Metazoa; Chordata; Mammalia; Didelphimorphia; Didelphidae. The record is from RNAcentral.
AUGGCAUGUGCAAAGCUGUGUAGUGACGAGGUCUUUAUGACAUGCUUCUGCUGUCUGCAAGCCCGAUCCUCUUACGUGGGCUCCGUAGGACAGCAAAACCGUGCGUUCCCAAGGAGCCCAUGGCCCUGCGGAGUGGACUGUUGGUUUAAUCCUCCACAUACAGGAGUUUUCUGUGCGCUGAAUGGCAAACCCAUGGUGAAUGGGCGGCAGAGCAAUCUAAACAAGAAUGGAUGCUCGUCUGUAUCUACUAAAGCCAAUGCUCUGGGUCAGCGCCCUGCUGACCCAAUCUCAAUUCCAUCUCUGCCCUGUGGGGUUGGGCAGCUGCAUGGCUCAGUGGAUGGAUGCAGAGCUGAGUGCAAACCCAGCUUCAGACACUUAUUAGCUGGGGGAACCUGGGCAAGUCACUCAACCUUUAUUUGCCACUGGAGAAGCAACUGGCAAAGCGCUCCCGGAUCUUUGCACGGUCCAGUCCACCGGGUCAUGAAUCGCUGGGCACGACUGAAUAGUAGCAAGCACUGGAUUUUGCCUGGAUUUCUGAUUAGCGAUGGAGGACAAAAAAGGGAAUUAUGUCUGAAACCAUGA